UACGUAGGGUGCAAGCGUUGUCCGGAAUUAUUGGGCGUAAAGAGCUCGUAGGCGGUUUGUCGCGUCUGCUGUGAAAACCUGCAGCUCAACUGCAGGCUUGCGGUCGAUACGGGCAGGCUAGAGUUCGGUAGGGGAGACUGGAAUUCCUGGUGUAGCGGUGAAAUGCGCAGAUAUCAGGAGGAACACCGGUGGCGAAGGCGGGUCUCUGGUACAUGAUUGACGCUGAGACGCGAAAGCGUGGGGAGCGAACAGG
This 253-nucleotide ribosomal RNA is filed under the name uncultured bacterium. Its description in RNAcentral is "partial 16S ribosomal RNA". It matches the Rfam family "Bacterial small subunit ribosomal RNA", at positions 524 to 776 of the family's 1533-position model. The record is from RNAcentral.